GCUCUUUGAGUCUUGCAGUUGGAAUGAGUACAAUUUAAACCCCUUAACGAGUAACAAUCGGAGGGCAAGUCUGGUGCCAGCAGCCGCGGUAAUUCCAGCUCCAAUAGCGUAUAUUAAAGUUGUUGCAGUUAAAAAGCUCGUAGUUGGACCUUAGGCAAGGCGGCCUGGUCACCCUCUGGGUGUACUGGGAUCGCUGCGCCUCACCUUCGGGGAGCUAGUCGUGCUUCGGUGCGCUAGGGAACCGAGCCUUA
This 251-nucleotide ribosomal RNA is filed under the name uncultured fungus. RNAcentral describes it as "partial 18S ribosomal RNA". It matches the Rfam family "Eukaryotic small subunit ribosomal RNA", at positions 490 to 753 of the family's 1831-position model. The record is from RNAcentral. Lineage: Eukaryota; Fungi.